This 1833-nucleotide ribosomal RNA is filed under the name Hydrogenovibrio crunogenus. RNAcentral's name for it is "partial 23S ribosomal RNA". It matches the Rfam family "Bacterial large subunit ribosomal RNA", at positions 1 to 1894 of the family's 2925-position model. The record is from RNAcentral. Lineage: Bacteria; Pseudomonadati; Pseudomonadota; Gammaproteobacteria; Thiotrichales; Piscirickettsiaceae.
GUUGUAUAGUUAAGUGACUAAGCGUACACGGUGGAUGCCUAGGCGGUAGAAGGCGAUGAAGGACGUAGUAACUUGCGAUAAGCCACGGGGAGUUAGUAAACAAGCUUUGAUCCGUGGAUUUCCGAAUGGGAAAACCCAUCCUUUAUGGAUAUCCCUUUAUGGGAGGCUAACCUGGAGAACUGAAACAUCUAAGUACCCAGAGGAAAAGAAAUCAACCGAGAUUCCCCAAGUAGCGGCGAGCGAACGGGGACCAGCCCUAAAGCAUUUAUUAAGAUAGCAGAACACUCUGGAAAGUGUGACGAUACAAGGUGAUAGUCCUGUAUGCGAAAUCUUAUUAAGUGUUAUUCGAGUAGGACGGAACACGUGAAAUUCUGUUUGAACAUGGGGGGACCACCCUCCAAGGCUAAAUACUCUCUACCGACCGAUAGUGAACCAGUACCGUGAGGGAAAGGCGAAAAGAACCCCUGAAGGGGAGUGAAAUAGAACCUGAAACCGUGUACGUACAAGCAGUAGGAGCCCACUUGUUGGGUGACUGCGUACCUUUUGUAUAAUGGGUCAGCGACUUACGUUAUGUUGCGAGGUUAACCGAAUAGGGGAGCCGAAGGGAAACCGAGUCUUAAAUGGGCGUUUAGUAGCAUGGCGUAGACCCGAAACCGGGCGAUCUAUCCAUGGCCAGGUUGAAGGUGCCGUAACAGGUACUGGAGGACCGAACCCACGUAUGUUGAAAAAUGCGGGGAUGAGCUGUGGAUCGGAGUGAAAGGCUAAUCAAGCCCGGAGAUAGCUGGUUCUCCUCGAAAUCUAUUUAGGUAGAGCCUCAUGUCUCACUGUUGGGGGUAGAGCACUGUUAUGGUCUAGCGGGCCGUCAAGGCUUAGCAGCCCAUUGCAAACUCCGAAUACCAACAAGUGCAAUCAUGGGAGACAGACAGCGGGUGCUAACGUCCGUUGUCAAGAGGGAAACAACCCAGACCACCAGCUAAGGUCCCUAAACACUACUCAGUGGGAAAGGAUGUGGGAAGGCUUAGACAGUCAGGAGGUUGGCUUAGAAGCAGCCACCCUUUAAAGAAAGCGUAAUAGCUCACUGAUCGAGUCGGCCUGCGCCGAAGAUUUAACGGGGCUAAGUAGUGUACCGAAGCUGUGGAUGCCAUUUAUGGCAUGGUAGAGGAGCGUCGUGUAAGCCUGCGAAGGGGUGUUGUAAAGCAUCCUGGAGGUAUCACGAGUGCGAAUGCUGACAUGAGUAGCGAUAAAGGGAGUGAAAAGCUCCCUCGCCGAAAGACCAAGGUUUCCUACGCAACGUUAAUCGACGUAGGGUUAGUCGACCCCUAAGACGAGGCCGAGAGGCGUAGUCGAUGGGAAGCAGGUUAAUAUUCCUGCACUUUUUAUAACUGCGAUGGAGGGACGGAGAAGGCUAAACUAGCUUGCUGAUGGUUGCAAGUUUAAGGUAGUAGGCAGAGAUCUUAGGCAAAUCCGGGAUCUUAAUGCUGAGAACUGAUGACGAGUCCUCUUUUGGACGAAGUAGUUGAUGCCAUGCUUCCAAGAAAAGCUUCUAAGCUUCAGGUUAUAAAGAAUCGUACCCCAAACCAACACAGGUGGUCAGGAUGAGAAUUCCAAGGCGCUUGAGAGAACUCGGGUGAAGGAACUAGGCAAAAUAACACCGUAACUUCGGGAGAAGGUGUGCCCCUGCCGGUGAUGAGAUUUACUCUCUAAGCUAGUGGGGGUUGCAGAGACCAGGUGGCUGCAACUGUUUACUAAAAACAUAGCACUGUGCAAAAUCGAAAGAUGACGUAUACGGUGUGACGCCUGCCCGGUGCCGGAAGGUUAAUUGAUGGGGUUAGC